ACGAUGACUUUUCCAUUUUUUUCUCCUCAAUCCCAACUAUAGUACGUGAACAGUGCCGUGAACGAUCGUAUUCCCCAAGUACGAAUCUAGCUUUGAUACCAAUUGUUGUGCGGAAGCGUGUAAAAGAGUAAAAUUAUUGUACUAAAAAAUCACACUAAGUUUAAUUCCCAGGAAAGAGAGGUGGAUCACAAGGAUCGCUUAAGUACCAGGUCUUUCCUAGCCAGAAUAUCCCUCAAUCGUAAUUUAAUAGCACAAUAAAUCACUACAAUCACACACACAAUUCAUGCAGAAUAAUACAAUAAAGAACACAAGAAUUUAACGAGG
This 324-nucleotide long non-coding RNA is filed under the name Gossypium barbadense (sea-island cotton). RNAcentral's name for it is "long non-coding RNA (GBAR_LNC022270)". The record is from RNAcentral. Lineage: Eukaryota; Viridiplantae; Streptophyta; Magnoliopsida; Malvales; Malvaceae.